Molecule: long non-coding RNA, 1240 nt
Filed under: Aquilegia coerulea
Lineage: Eukaryota; Viridiplantae; Streptophyta; Magnoliopsida; Ranunculales; Ranunculaceae
Description: long non-coding RNA (ACOE_LNC000145)
Source: RNAcentral
AACAAUAGGACAAUAACAACCUUUUGGGUUGGUAACUAGCUCCUCAAAUAUGUGAUUUUUCUUGUCUUCGUCUCUUACAACCUCUCAUACCUCCAAGCUUUCAUGUUUCUUGAAUCCAUAGUUGCUCCGUGGAAAAUCUCCACAACUUCAAUCUUGUCUCCUUCCCAAGCUCUCCAAUUUUUCUCGAUUUACCCAAAGAGAAGGGUUAAAUCCUAUUAAUGCUAAAACCCACUGAUAAGUCCUCAAAAGUGUAUUUUUAUCCCUCGAAUAACACUUUGUUUGCAUAGCACUUAGCUUAUAUUAUUGUGUAAUAUCUAUUGAUUAGUGUUUUCUUGUCAUUUGUGUAGGUUUCAUGAGCCAAAAGUCAAAUACUGUGCUAAAAGCCCGCCAAAAGCCAAGAAAAGCCAUUGAAGAAAUGUUAUUUACACAAAAAAAGAAAAUUACUAUUUGCACCCACAUAUUACUGAGGACACCCCUUAGACAAGUCUUGUGGACUUGACUUUAAGCCAAAAAAAGCCGUUGAAAAAGUGUUAUUUACACAAAAGAAGAUAAUUAUUAUUUGCACCCACAUAUUAUUGAGGACACCCCUUGGACAAGUCCUGUGGACUUGACUUUAUGUCUAAGAUGGGUGGUCGAAAUCCCAGCUCAAUCCAAGUUAUAUUGAAGCCCGCAGGUCAAAAGAUCUAUUGAAGCCUGUUACUUGAAGUCCAAUCUUAAAAAUGCUCUACAUAAUAAUGUAAAACUCCGAUUUGGGCUCAGAAGUUGUCUAUCUAAAGGUAUUGAUCCAAGCUACAACUUAAACCCAAAAGAAUUAGGGUUUCAUGUGGUCUUUAUACUUCUAGAAGCUCUAUAGCAUCCACCACAAAUUUUGACCUAAUUUGAAGAUCUUGGAUGAAGCAAAGAUACUUUGCUUGCAAGCAAAGUACUUUCCUAACUCAUGAGGACUCAUACAUUGUAAUCUCUAUAUAAAGAGAAGUAGUAGCUCGGGUUUAUUAGCUUGAACUUUUGAGAGGAAGAAACACUUCCCUUCUUCUUGAAGUCAAUCUCUUUUGUAGUAUUUUCAUAAUAAUAAUAACAAUCUCUUAUCUUUUCCAUUAAUGAUGUUGUGUUCUUUUACUAUUUCUUUUAUGGUAUCAUUAUCAAGGAUGAGUAUCUAAGUUUUCUUUAGUGGGAAUGGUUGAAGCAUUCUAGAUAAUGCAAAAGCACCAUGAUUGUUCUUUUAUAUUCAUUGUGAUUCAAU